Molecule: ribosomal RNA, 483 nt
Filed under: uncultured bacterium
Lineage: Bacteria
Description: partial 16S ribosomal RNA
Rfam family: Bacterial small subunit ribosomal RNA
Source: RNAcentral
AUUGAACGCUGGCGGCAGGCCUAACACAUGCAAGUCGAGCGGAUGAAGGGAGCUGCUCCUUGGUUUCAGGGGGGGAGGGUGAGUAAUUCCUUGGAAUCUUCCCGGGUGUGGGGGAUAACGUCCGGAAACGGGCGCUAAUACCGCAUACGUCCUGAGGGAGGAAGUGGGGGAUCUUCGGACCUCCCGCUAUCAAAUUGACCUAGGUCGGAUUUGCUAGUUGGUGGGGUUAAGGCCUAACAAGGCCGAGAUCCGUAACUGGUCUGUGAGGAUGAUCAGUCACACUGGAACUGAGACACGGUCCAGACUCCUACGGGAGGCAGCAGUGGGGAAUAUUGGACAAUGGGCGAAAGCCUGAUCCAGCCAUGCCGCGUGUGUGAAGAAGGUCUUCGGAUUGUAAAGCACUUUAAGUUGGGAGGAAGGGCAGUAAGUUAAUACCUUGCUGUUUUGACGUUACCAACAGAAUAAGCACCGGCUAACUUCGUG